This 372-nucleotide ribosomal RNA is filed under the name uncultured organism. RNAcentral describes it as "partial 16S ribosomal RNA". It matches the Rfam family "Bacterial small subunit ribosomal RNA", at positions 527 to 896 of the family's 1533-position model. The record is from RNAcentral.
GUAGGUGGCAAGCGUUGUCCGGAAUUAUUGGGCGUAAAGCGCGCGCAGGCGGUUCUUUAAGUCUGAUGUGAAAGCCCACGGGCUCAACCGUGGAGGGUCAUUGGAAACUGGAGAACUUGAGUACAGAAGAGGAAAGCGGAAUUCCACGUGUAGCGGUGAAAUGCGUAGAGAUGUGGAGGAACACCAGUGGCGAAGGCGGCUUUCUGGUCUGUAACUGACGCUGAGGCGCGAAAGCGUGGGGAGCAAACAGGAUUAGGUACCCUGGUAGUCCACGCCGUAAACGAUGAGUGCUAAGUGUUAGGGGGUUUCCGCCCCUUAGUGCUGCAGCUAACGCAUCAAGCACUCCGCCUGGGGAGUACGGCCGCAAGGCUG